CAGCAGCCGCGGGAAUACGUAGGGCGCAAGCGUUGUCCGGAAUUAUUGGGCGUAAAGAGCUCGUAGGCGGUCUGUCGCGUCUGGUGUGAAAUCCCGAGGCUCAACCUCGGGCUUGCAUCGGGUACGGGCAGACUAGAGUGCGGUAGGGGAGACUGGAAUUGCUGGUGUAGCGGUGGAAUGCGCAGAUAUCAGGAGGAACACCGAUGGCGAAGGCAGGUCUCUGGGCCGCAACUGACGCUGAGGAGCGAAAGCAUGGGGAGCGAACAGGAUUAGAUACCCGCGUAGUCCCUGUCUCUUAUAC
This 301-nucleotide ribosomal RNA is filed under the name uncultured bacterium. RNAcentral's name for it is "partial 16S ribosomal RNA". It matches the Rfam family "Bacterial small subunit ribosomal RNA", at positions 509 to 807 of the family's 1533-position model. The record is from RNAcentral.